Molecule: small RNA, 485 nt
Filed under: Pan troglodytes (chimpanzee)
Lineage: Eukaryota; Metazoa; Chordata; Mammalia; Primates; Hominidae
Description: retained intron
Source: RNAcentral
UGAGAAUAACUGCAGAAGAAAUGAGUGCACUAAUAGAAGAACGGGAUGCUGCCUUGUCUAAGUGCAAACGGUUAGAGCAGGAGCUUCAUCAUCUGAAAGAGCAGAACCAGACUUCAGCAAACAACAUGAGACAUCUGACUGCUGAAAACAAUCAAGAACGUGCUCUGAAGGUAAAUCUCCGUUCCUUCUUGCAGGCAAAUUAAGGUUGUAAGCCCUUGGUGCCAGCUUUCUGUGCUGCAUAUAUCAGUUGUGUACAUUUCAGCAGAAGUGAGCUGUGGUGUUUGCCAACAACCCCUUCUUUAAACACAGAUACAGCACCCUUCUGUUAUGGUAUUAUUUUAUUUCAUGUAUGUGUACGUGAAAACAACACAUUUUCUGAAUUUUGAGUGGUGGUAUAUUAAUAACUUUUGGUAAAUGUUUAUUCUGUUUCUUUUUUAUAUCAUUACCUUUUGUAGUUAAUAAAAAGUGACCAUACUAAAAGAAAA